GCAUCUUCGACAGAAUUUCUCUGAGAUAAUCACAGCGACUGCGGUGAUAAUCAAUCCACAAGCACAGCUGCCUUAUUGCCUCCCUCUUCUCCUCUCCCAGGUCUAAUAUACUUUCAUCCCUCUCUUUCAUCAACUUCUCUGAUGCUGCCAACUUUUUCUCCAAUUGGUUGACAGCUAUAGUUAAGUUAUCUUUCUCCCCUUCAUCCUUUUUCACCUUGAUCUCUAGUUGUUCAACCUUCUCUCUCAAUGCUGAUUCCCGUUCUUUUGUAACUUGCAGUUGUACUACUAGAUCACCUACUUCUUUUCCAAGUUUUUCCUUCUCAUUCUUCGUGUCAAUUACCCUAUUCUUUGCAAUCUGAAUCUCAUUUGACAUUUCCAAAAUGCGUUGUGCAUAGCUGUUGCAGUCCUCUUCAUAUUUAAGGGUCAAAGCUUCUAGUACUGUCAAAGUACUGUUCACUUUCUCUGAGGUAUCUGUGACCAUACUCUGACAAGCUUCAUUGGUAGCAGCUAUCAUUCCCAACUGCAUAGCAAUCCUUUUCUCCAGCACUCUCAGCUCAUGCUGGAAACCUGCUUCUGCUUUCCUAAAGCUCUCUUCCUUCUCAGUUAGUAAUUGUUCUGUGACAUGGAGCUUCUGGUUUGACAACCGGAGCUUAACUUCAAUAUUGCGGACAUUCACAACCAUGGUAUUGAGUUCAUCUCCUUUUACUUCAAGAUCUUUUGUCAGGUCCUCAACUGUUUCUUCCAGUUCAGCUACUUUCUGAUCUUGGGAACUGGCAUUCUUCUGAAAUUGUUCUGCCAUUUCUUCUACUUUCCUUUCAACUGCUUUGAUGUUUUCCUUGCUCUCCUGGAACCAACCUUCCACCUGCUUAUACUCCUCACUCAGCUUCCUGUAUGCCUCCUCCUGCUCUGCCAGCACCUUUUGCUGAUCUGCAAUUUUGCUCAUGAACUCAGACUUUUGAUUUUCCAUUUCUAUCAGGCUUUCUGAAAAUUUUUGUAUCUCUUUCUGAAGCUGCAACUGCAAUUGGUUUUUCUCAUCCUGUAAGCAAUCUAAUUCCAGUUGCAGAUUGUUAGAUUGUGUUGUUAAGGCCGUUAUCUGAGCAGAAGCUUCAUUCUCUCCUUUUUCAUGUCUCUCCUGGAGGGCAGAGUAAUCUAGCCUUCUCUCCGUUAACAUUCUUUCAAAAUCAAAAAUUUUAUUCUGUAACCCCACCAUUUCCUCUCCUAACCGUCCACUCUCUUUGAUUUCAGUUCUUGCUUGCUCUUCAAGAUCAGUUUUCUGGUUUCGUAAAUUCUCCACCUCCAAUUCCAGAUUUUUCAUUUGCCCUGUCAAACUUUCUCUCUCUCCAAGAAUCCUCUGAUAAUCUUCAGCAUAGUGUGCUAUCUCCUCUUUCAGAUUUUCUAUCAGAACCAGGAACUCUGAAAUUUUCUGAGUUUUCGUCUCCAGUUUCACUUCCAGUUCAGCUUUCUCAUUGUGUAAGGACUCCAUUUGCUGUUGUAACUCGUUAACCUGAUCCAUCAGACCCUUGACUUGACUUGAUGCUUCAUCGCCUUUACUUACCAUCUGUUCUUCCAAUUCUGCUUUCUGGGUGUUUAAACAUUCCAAGUCUGCUAGAAGAGUGUUGACUUGUGCUGUCAGGCUUUCUACUUUAGACAAUGAUUCCUUCUCAUCAUCAUCAAGUUUCUUUCUAAGAGCCAACAGUUCAUCUCCUCUCUCUUUCGACAUUAUUUCAAGUUCUGAAUUUUGGGCUUUUAGUAGUAAAUUUUCUUCUCCCAGUCCUUUUAUUUCAGACACUUUGCUCUCAAUCUGUACCCCCAUAUCUCUAUUAUGGGCUCUAAAUGACUCAAGCUCCAGUUCCAGGCCAGUCACUCGAGCCUCUAAUUCCUUUAUCUGAGCUGACAAUACAUUCCUAUGUGCCUUGUGCACAGAAGCAAGGGAUGACAACUCUCUGUCCUUCUCACUCAAUUUCUCCUUCAUGUGAAUCUCUUUCUCCACAAUCAAGUUGUCCUUCUCUUUGCUCAUCUCCUGCAAUCUCUCGUUCAGUUCUGCUUCUACAUUGCCAGAAGCAUCAAGGUUUUGCUUCAACUCUCCAUUCUCAACCAAAAGUUUUUCUUUCUCCACAUCUAGUCUUUCAACUUCAAACUUCAACUUUUUACUGAUCUCCUCUGCUGCUUGUAUUUUGCUUAAAGCUGUCUGAUGUUCCAAAUUUAAAGCUUCCUUUUCUUCAGUGGUAGCAGUAAACUUACCCUUCAGUUCUGCAACUUCUAGAUUUUUCAUUUCAAGUUCUUGCUUUAUGACAUCUGUUAUCUUCUGAUAUUCACUUUCGAGUUUUCCAUUUUUACUUCCUUUGUCUUUGGAAGAAUAAUCAGAUUCUGAGUCUGAGCUCGAUGAAGAGGUCUCUGCUCCUUGUUUCCCAUGAAAUUUCUUUCUUAGCUCUCCAGUCAGAUGAUCAUAUUGUUCAUAAAGCAAUUGGUAAUGUUUGUGGAAAUCCUCAAUUAGCUCAACCAGAGGUUCUUUUUUGGAGUUUUCUACUGAGAGCCCAUCAUUUUCUUCGACGUCUUCCUCUUUGAGAAGCUUCAAGAUCUUCUUUACUUUGUUCUCAAUUUCUGUUUUAGUUCCUUUUAGCUGUUCAUCUUGCUCUGAAUCAAUAUGACUACCAAAGAAUGAUUUUAUAGACUCUCUCCACCGCCGCCUUGUCAUCUUCCCUUUGAAUUUUCAAUUAGUUUUCCUUGUCAAGAACAUUAAGACAAGGAGUCAUCUUGCACCCAAAAUUUUAAAAUCAGGAAAUUUCUCUUUUUUGGUUCUCUUUCCCCGUCUAGUCUUCUUCAGAAAGCUUCACCAAUGUUCUGCAAUACCAAUCUGCAGAAAGAUAAAGAAAAGUUCUGAACUUAUGAUUAACCAAAAGGCAUAAAAGAAAAAGAGAAACAAGUAAUCAAACGAUCACGAGUUCUUUAAUUAGACCUAUUUUAAAUUUGAAUAAAAAAACUAAAAAAAAAAAAGAUCAAAGCAGAUAAGAAAUGAACGAAGAAAACUAGAAAACCAUAACGCCGCUCAUGCAUGCAUACUCGAUUAUUCAAUUUCGAAUAACAUAACAACUCGAUCUAAUAAACAAGAACUUCACUAGAAAUUAAGUUUGAUGCACAGUUCAGUGUUCAAGAACAUGAAAUCAAAGAUCCAAUCCGAAAAGAAGAAAGAACAAACUCGAAAGAUUGGAAAGUGAAAAGUUAAUCAGAUUGAUAAUGAUAUGGAUUACCUCUAAAUCAGAGCUGAAAAUCUCGAUUUCAGUAACGGAGAACCUAAAAGGAAACGCUCAGAAGAGAGAGAACCAAGAGAAAGAGAAGCAGUGUCUCCAAUGAGAGGGAGAGAGAGAGAUUUAUUUCUAUUUAAUUAAAAAAAGAAUUAAACGGAAAGUGGUUUUGUUUGGAUUAGAGCACUCAAAGCGACUUGCACAGCAUUUGUAGCUUCAAUUGCAGGAGAGCAGGAGGAAUGGAAUCUUUGGACCUUUC
This 3501-nucleotide unclassified non-coding RNA is filed under the name Hevea brasiliensis (rubber tree). Lineage: Eukaryota; Viridiplantae; Streptophyta; Magnoliopsida; Malpighiales; Euphorbiaceae. The record is from RNAcentral.